RNAcentral lists this ribosomal RNA (998 nucleotides) under Curtobacterium luteum. Its description in RNAcentral is "bacterial SSU rRNA". It matches the Rfam family "Bacterial small subunit ribosomal RNA", at positions 465 to 1461 of the family's 1533-position model. Lineage: Bacteria; Bacillati; Actinomycetota; Actinomycetes; Micrococcales; Microbacteriaceae. The record is from RNAcentral.
GCAAGUGACGGUACCUGCAGAAAAAGCACCGGCUAACUACGUGCCAGCAGCCGCGGUAAUACGUAGGGUGCAGCGUUGUCCGGAAUUAUUGGGCGUAAAGAGCUCGUAGGCGGUUUGUCGCGUCUGCUGUGAAAUCCCGAGGCUCAACCUCGGGCUUGCAGUGGGUACGGGCAGACUAGAGUGCGGUAGGGGAGAUUGGAAUUCCUGGUGUAGCGGUGGAAUGCGCAGAUAUCAGGAGGAACACCGAUGGCGAAGGCAGAUCUCUGGGCCGUAACUGACGCUGAGGAGCGAAAGCGUGGGGAGCGAACAGGAUUAGAUACCCUGGUAGUCCACGCCGUAAACGUUGGGCGCUAGAUGUAGGGACCUUUCCACGGUUUCUGUGUCGUAGCUAACGCAUUAAGCGCCCCGCCUGGGGAGUACGGCCGCAAGGCUAAAACUCAAAGGAAUUGACGGGGGCCCGCACAAGCGGCGGAGCAUGCGGAUUAAUUCGAUGCAACGCGAAGAACCUUACCAAGGCUUGACAUACACCGGUAACGGCCAGAGAUGGUCGCCCCCUUGUGGUCGGUGUACAGGUGGUGCAUGGUUGUCGUCAGCUCGUGUCGUGAGAUGUUGGGUUAAGUCCCGCAACGAGCGCAACCCUCGUUCUAUGUUGCCAGCGCGUGAUGGCGGGGACUCAUAGGAGACUGCCGGGGUCAACUCGGAGGAAGGUGGGGAUGACGUCAAAUCAUCAUGCCCCUUAUGUCUUGGGCUUCACGCAUGCUACAAUGGCCGGUACAAAGGGCUGCGAUACCGUAAGGUGGAGCGAAUCCCAAAAAGCCGGUCUCAGUUCGGAUUGAGGUCUGCAACUCGACCUCAUGAAGUCGGAGUCGCUAGUAAUCGCAGAUCAGCAACGCUGCGGUGAAUACGUUCCCGGGCCUUGUACACACCGCCCGUCAAGUCAUGAAAGUCGGUAACACCCGAAGCCGGUGGCCUAACCCUUGUGGGAGGAGCCGUCGUAG